CAGUCGCCGCGGGAAUACGAAGGGUGCAAGCGUUACUCGGAAUUACUGGGCGUAAAGCGUGCGUAGGUGGUGGUUUAAGUCCGUUGUGAAAGCCCUGGGCUCAACCUGGGAAUUGCAGUGGAUACUGGGUCACUAGAGUGUGGUAGAGGAUAGUGGAAUUUCCGGUGUAGCAGUGAAAUGCGUAGAGAUCGGAAGGAACAUCUGUGGCGAAGGCGACUAUCUGGGCCAACACUGACACUGAGGCACGAAAGCGUGGGGAGCAAACAGGAUUAGAUACCCCGGUAGCCCUGUCUCUUAUACA
This 301-nucleotide ribosomal RNA is filed under the name uncultured bacterium. RNAcentral describes it as "partial 16S ribosomal RNA". It matches the Rfam family "Bacterial small subunit ribosomal RNA", at positions 509 to 809 of the family's 1533-position model. The record is from RNAcentral.